CUUUACGGCAGUGUGGCAGGAAAAGCCUCUGAGAGGCCCGUGGUUCGGGAGUGAGUGGAGGCAACUAGGGUACCCUGUGCUGAUUGGGUCCGGAACCAUGGACGUGGGCGAACUUUUAAGCUACCAGCCCAACAGGGGCACAAAACGACCCCGGGAUGAUGAGGAAGAAGAACUGAAAACACGUCGCAAGCAAACCGGUCCUCGAGAACGCGGCCGCUAUCGAGAAGAGGAGGCCACAGCAUCCGAAGACACGGACGAUGACAAGAAAAGGCUGCUGCAGAUUAUUGACAAGGAUGGCGAGGAAGAAGAGGAGGAGGAGGAGCCGCUGGAUGAGAGCUCAGUGAAGAAGAUGAUCCUCACAUUUGAAAAGCGAUCAUACAAGAACCAGGAGCUGCGGAUCAAGUUUCCAGACAAUCCGGAGAAGUUCAUGGAAUCCGAGCUGGACCUCAAUGACAUCAUUCAGGAGAUGCACGUGGUGGCCACCAUGCCUGACCUGUACCAUCUUCUCGUGGAGCUGAGUGCUGUGCAGUCACUUCUCGGCUUGCUGGGACACGAUAAUACAGAUGUGUCCAUAGCCGUGGUCGAUCUCCUUCAGGAGCUGACAGACAUAGACACCCUCCACGAGAGUGAGGAGGGAGCGGAAGUGCUCAUCGAUGCCCUGGUGGAUGGGCAGGUGGUCGCACUGUUGGUGCAAAAUCUGGAGCGCCUGGAUGAGUCUGUGAGAGAGGAGGCUGAUGGCGUCCACAAUACCCUAGCUAUUGUGGAGAAUAUGGCCGAGUUCCGUCCAGAGAUGUGCACAGAGGCUGCCCAGCAGGGACUCCUGCAAUGGCUGUUGAAGAGGCUGAAGGCCAAGAUGCCCUUUGAUGCCAACAAACUGUACUGUAGUGAAGUGCUGGCCAUCCUCCUCCAGGACAAUGAUGAAAACAGGGAAUUGCUGGGAGAGCUGGAUGGAAUCGAUGUGCUUCUUCAGCAGUUAUCCGUAUUUAAGAGACACAACCCCAGCACUGCAGAGGAGCAGGAGAUGAUGGAGAACCUGUUUGACGCCCUUUGCUCCUGCCUCAUGCUCAGCUCCAACCGAGAGCGCUUCCUGAAGGGCGAGGGCCUUCAGCUCAUGAAUCUCAUGCUCAGGGAGAAGAAGGUCUCCCGGAGUAGCGCCCUGAAGGUGCUGGACCACGCCAUGAUUGGGCCCGAGGGCACAGACAAUUGCCACAAGUUUGUUGACAUCCUUGGCUUACGAACCAUCUUUCCACUCUUCAUGAAGUCUCCCCGGAAGAUCAAGAAGGUGGGAACCACAGAGAAGGAGCAUGAAGAGCAUGUCUGUUCGAUCCUGGCUUCCCUCCUGCGCAACCUGAGAGGGCAGCAGCGGACCCGGCUUCUGAAUAAAUUUACAGAGAACGACAGUGAGAAGGUCGACAGACUAAUGGAGCUGCACUUUAAAUAUCUAGGUGCAAUGCAGGUGGCCGACAAGAAGAUUGAAGGGGAGAAGCACGACAUCGUGCGGCGCGGGGAGAUCAUCGACAAUGACAUGGAGGACGAGCUGUACCUGCGGCGCCUGGACGCUGGCCUCUUCAUCCUGCAGCACAUCUGCUACAUCAUGGCGGAGAUCUGCAAUGCCAGUGUCCCCCAGAUUCGCCAGCGGGUUCACCAGAUCCUGAACAUGCGUGGCAGCUCCAUCAAGAUCGUCAGGCACAUCAUCAAAGCAAAGAGAACGCUCCCCAAGACCUCUGGGAGGAAUCUGUUCAAUAUUUAUCAACUGCUGCAGCAGCUGAAAUAACCGGCAGCAGCCAGCAACAAGACCUGCUCUAACCAGAACUCCAGAAACAAAGAGUACGCAGAGAACAUCGGAGAUGGCCGGAGCCCUGAGUUCCGGGAAACUGAGCAGAAGCGCAUCCUGGGCUUGUUGGAGAACUUCUAGAAUGCUAGGCAGACCGUGACAGCCACGGACCCCUGGCUCCCUCCUGGAAACCAUUUUUACAGUUGUAUGGCUUGAACAAAUUAAAGCUAGUUUUGGUA
RNA transcript from Apodemus sylvaticus (European woodmouse), 2013 nucleotides. It is a transcript of the gene named catenin beta like 1, with no coding region annotated. Lineage: Eukaryota; Metazoa; Chordata; Mammalia; Rodentia; Muridae. The transcript has 17 exons. The record is from RefSeq and is a predicted model, not a curated record.